This 575-nucleotide long non-coding RNA is filed under the name Heterocephalus glaber (naked mole-rat). RNAcentral describes it as "lncRNA (ENSHGLG00000048912.1)". The record is from RNAcentral. Lineage: Eukaryota; Metazoa; Chordata; Mammalia; Rodentia; Bathyergidae.
CCCCGGGCCCCGCUCGCGCGCGAGGGGAGCCUCACAGGAGCCAGAGCCCGACCGCCGCGACGCCAGGCGCCGGCCCCGGCAGGAGGUCUGCUGGGAAUCAGCCCAGGUGGGGGCGGCAGACCUACUUCUCCCUGUAGUUGGUGAGUGGCAGGAGCAGCAGGAGCUAGGACCAAGGACAAGUGGGAGCUGGGAGCCCCAGGCACAAGCACACCAGCUCCUCUGCUCACUGCGUGUGGGCGGAUGGCGCACUUUGUGGAAUGGUCCUGCCUCUGUCUGCUCUCUCAAGAUCCCUGAAGUGGGAAGGUACCCUCUGGGCCUUGCCUACCUCAGAGGAAUGGACAGAUAAUAAAAGGCCUAUGGGGCAACCUUGCCUUCUCCCAAAUGCAAGCAGUUGUUUCUUAUUGUAGACAAUCAGGAGAAUUCUGGGGAUGCUCUGUGGGAGAGGAAGGGGCCAAGGAGUGAACUUGGGACUACUUUUUGUGGGCUGGUAGGAGGGCUGUUCCCACUAGCAAACAGCCCCUAGCCCCACUGCAGCCCAAUGGGCAGUUCCAGGACUGGAACUAGAGGCUUUCCAC